Molecule: ribosomal RNA, 447 nt
Filed under: uncultured bacterium
Lineage: Bacteria
Description: partial 16S ribosomal RNA
Rfam family: Bacterial small subunit ribosomal RNA
Source: RNAcentral
AACGGACGCUGGCGGCAGGCCUAACACAUGCAAGUCGAACGCCCCGCAAGGGGAGUGGCAGACGGGUGAGUAACGCGUGGGAACCUUCCCAAAGGUGCGGAAUAGCUCAGGGAAACUUGGGGUAAUACCGCAUAAUGCCGAGAGGCCAAAGAUUUAUCGCCUUUGGAUGGGCCCGCGUCGGAUUAGCUAGUUGGUGAGGUAACGGCUCACCAAGGCGACGAUCCGUAGCUGGUUUGAGAGAAUGACCAGCCACACUGGGACUGAGACACGGCCCAGACUCCUACGGGAGGCAGCAGUGGGGAAUCUUGGACAAUGGGCGCAAGCCUGAUCCAGCCAUGCCGCGUGAGUGACGAAGGCCUUAGGGUUGUAAAGCUCUUUUGCCGGGGACGAUAAUGACGGUACCCGGAGAAUAAGUCCCGGCUAACUUCGUGCCAGCCGCCGCGGUAA